CUGGACUCUGACCUCAUAGGUAGCAAUGAA
Molecule: non-coding RNA, 30 nt
Filed under: Rattus norvegicus (Norway rat)
Lineage: Eukaryota; Metazoa; Chordata; Mammalia; Rodentia; Muridae
Source: RNAcentral